AUUGAACGCUGGCGGCAGGCCUAACACAUGCAAGUCGAGCGGAUGAAGGGAGCUUGCUCCUGGAUUCAGCGGCGGACGGGUGAGUAAUGCCUAAGAAUCUGCCUGGUAGUGGGGGAUAACGUCCGGAAACGGGCGCUAAUACCGCAUACGUCCUGAGGGAGAAAGUGGGGGAUCUUCGGACCUCACGCUAUCAGAUGAGCCUAGGUCGGAUUAGCUAGUUGGUGGGGUAAAGGCCUACCAAGGCGACGAUCCGUAACUGGUCUGAGAGGAUGAUCAGUCACACUGGAACUGAGACACGGUCCAGACUCCUACGGGAGGCAGCAGUGGGGAAUAUUGGACAAUGGGCGAAAGCCUGAUCCAGCCAUGCCGCGUGUGUGAAGAAGGUCUUCAGAUUGUAAAGCACUUUAAGUUGGGAGGAAGGGCAGUAAGUUAAUACCUUGCUGUUUUGACGUUACCAACAGAAUAAGCACCGGCUAACUUCGUG
Molecule: ribosomal RNA, 484 nt
Filed under: uncultured bacterium
Lineage: Bacteria
Description: partial 16S ribosomal RNA
Rfam family: Bacterial small subunit ribosomal RNA
Source: RNAcentral